RNAcentral lists this ribosomal RNA (479 nucleotides) under uncultured bacterium. RNAcentral's name for it is "partial 16S ribosomal RNA". It matches the Rfam family "Bacterial small subunit ribosomal RNA", at positions 899 to 1397 of the family's 1533-position model. The record is from RNAcentral.
ACUCAAAUGAAUUGACGGAAAUAUAAACAAGCAGUGGAGCAUGUGAAUUAAUUCGAUACAACGCGAAAAACCUUACCAAAUCUUGACUACCUUUUAAUAUUUGAUUUAAUUCAAAUUUAAUUAUUGUAAAAGGAACAGGUGCUGCAUGGCUGUCGUCAGCUCGUGUCGUGAGAUGUAUGGUUAAGUCCUCUAACGAGCGUAACCCCCUUUAUUUGUUAUUUUACUAAAUAAACAGAGAAUAAAAAUUCUAGGAAGGUGGGGAUGAUGUCAAGUCUUCAUGGCCCUUAUGAUUUGGGCAUUACAUGUGCUACAAUGGUAACUACAAAAUGUUGCAAUGGUGUAAAUCAAAGCUAAUCAAAAAAAGUUAUCUUAGUUCGGAUUGUUCUCUGCAACUCGAGAACAUAAAGUUGGAAUUGCUAGUAAUCGUAGAUCAGAACGCUACGGUGAAUUGAUCCCUAUAUUUUGUACACACCGCCCGU